GACGAACGCUGGCGGCGUGCUUAACACAUGCAAGUCGAACGGAAAGGCCCUGCUUUUGUGGGGUGCUCGAGUGGCGAACGGGUGAGUAACACGUGAGUAACCUGCCCUUGACUUUGGGAUAACUUCAGGAAACUGGGGCUAAUACCGGAUAGGAGCUCCUGCUGCAUGGUGGGGGUUGGAAAGUUUCGGCGGUUGGGGCUGGACGGGCGGGUUAUCAGCUUGUUGGUGGGGUAGUGGCUUACCAAGGCUUUGACGGGUAGCCGGCCUGAGAGGGUGACCGGGCACAAUGGGACUACGGGAGGGCCCAGACUCCUACGGGAGACAGCGGGGGGGAAUAUUGCACAAUGGGCGGGAGCGUGAUGCAGCAACGCCGCGUGCGGGAUGACGGCCUUCGGGUUGUAAACCGCUUUCGCCUGUGACGGAGCGUGAGUGACGGUAAUGGAUAAAGAAGCACCGGCUAACUACGUG
RNAcentral lists this ribosomal RNA (468 nucleotides) under uncultured bacterium. Its description in RNAcentral is "partial 16S ribosomal RNA". It matches the Rfam family "Bacterial small subunit ribosomal RNA", at positions 28 to 507 of the family's 1533-position model. The record is from RNAcentral.